UGGGGAAUAUUGCACAAUGGGCGCAAGCCUGAUGCAGCCAUGCCGCGUGUGUGAAGAAGGCCUUCGGGUUGUAAAGCACUUUCAGCGGGGAGGAAGGCGAUAAGGUUAAUAACCUUGUCGAUUGACGUUACCCGCAGAAGAAGCACCGGCUAACUCCGUGCCAGCAGCCGCGGUAAUACGGAGGGUGCAAGCGUUAAUCGGAAUUACUGGGCGUAAAGCGCACGCAGGCGGUCUGUCAAGUCGGAUGUGAAAUCCCCGGGCUUAACCUGGGAACUGCAUUCGAAACUGGCAGGCUAGAGUCUUGUAGAGGGGGGUAGAAUUCCAGGUGUAGCGGUGAAAUGCGUAGAGAUCUGGAGGAAUACCGGUGGCGAAGGUGGCCCCCUGGACAAAGACUGACGCUCAGGUGCGAAAGCGUGGGGAGCAAACAGG
RNAcentral lists this ribosomal RNA (429 nucleotides) under Chloroflexota bacterium. Its description in RNAcentral is "Chloroflexi bacterium partial 16S ribosomal RNA". It matches the Rfam family "Bacterial small subunit ribosomal RNA", at positions 355 to 776 of the family's 1533-position model. The record is from RNAcentral. Lineage: Bacteria; Bacillati; Chloroflexota.